Rhinopithecus bieti (black snub-nosed monkey) is the source of this 1112-nucleotide long non-coding RNA. The record is from Ensembl. Lineage: Eukaryota; Metazoa; Chordata; Mammalia; Primates; Cercopithecidae.
AUUUUGCACUGGAAUGAGAUGGAGCAGGGAGAGGCUGUAGCGCAUCCCUUCUCUUCCCACCCCUGAGUGCAUCCACACUGUGUGGACCCCUCAGCCCACACAUCCAAGCACUGAACACAGUUCCAGUAAACAGCUGGCCAGGGUGUGCAUGUGAACCCUCUGUUCACCCUCAGCAGGGCCAGCUGGGAGAAGAUUGGUGAGGGCUCUGGAAGGGGCCUGGGUCCAGUUGAGCAGUGAAUCCCAGAUACUGGAGCAUGGUCUUCAGCACAGUGCUUGAUAAAUAUUUGCUGGCUCAUUCAGCUGCAGCUGCAGAGACCUACCUGUGGUUGCUGUGGCGACUGUCCGGACCAAAGCUCAGGCAGCUGGAAGUAUCAGUGAAGCCAGAAGAUUUCAGCUGUUCAAUGUCUGUGAGGAGGAGUCAAGGUCUGGGAUUUGUGUCCUCUGCAUAGCAAUGGCACUGCAAUGGACGAGCCUGGUGCAGGGCUGGGCUGUCUCGCUACUGUCACCUGCCUGUUGAGGGAUGAUGGUGGUUGUUGAGAGGCUGGAUCAGACCCCAGAGGUGGCAUGGAUGUGACAUAUUUGUUGGGCUUACACAGUCUUGUAUUUUAUUUCCAUCUCUGUUCCUUCCUUCCAUGAGAUCUUGGGUGGUGCUUCAUCAACCCUGAGUAAUCGUUCCUUCAUCUGCAAGUUGGAAUAAAAAGGCCUACCUCACUGGGCUCAUGUGGGUGAGGAGAACUGAAGAGUCUGAGAGCACCAGCAUGGUGCUUGGCACGAGCCAGAGGCUACAGAAAACACUGCCCUCCCACACUCCACCUUGGAGAGACUCAGAAAAGAACAAGCUUCGUUUGAAAAAAAGGAAAGCAGCUCAGGCAAUGGGGUGGCUUAGAGGCACUCUCCUGUGUGCAGACGCCUUCCACUUCUUCCAUCUGCUCUGUCUCUCCAAGAACCCCUAUGGCCCUCGGCUCAGAGCAGAGCUGAGUGCAGAAAUGAAAAUCUGUGGCCCUGUGUUCCAAAACGAUGAAGAAUUUCAAGAUGGUGGCAGUGGCAAAAUCCUUCUCCAGGAAAAUUCUUUCCUUGGCCCAAUGUGUAAACACUUGCUGAGGAACUUGUAG